GCGAACAAGUACCGUGAGGGAAAGGUGAAAAGCACCCCGAUGAGGGGAGUGAAACAGUACCUGAAACCGAAUGCUUACAAUCAGUUGGAGGGUCCUUGAGGCCUGACAGCGUACCUCUUGUAUAAUGGGUCAGUGACUUAAUCUAUCAAGCGAGCUUAAGCCGUUAGGUGUAGGCGCAGCGAAAGCGAGUCUGAACAGGGCGACUGAGUUUGAUGGAUUAGACCCGAAACCCGGCGAUCUAGGCAUGACCAGGCUGAAGGUGCGGUAACACGCACUGGAGGGCCGAACCGUUUAAUGUUGAAAAAUUAUCGGAUGAGUUGUGUUUAGGGGUGAAAGGCCAAUCAAGCCGGGAAAUAGCUGGUUCUCCGCGAAAUCUAUUUAGGUAGAGCGUCGGAUGUUUACCUGUGGGGGUAGAGCACUGGAUGGGCUAGGGGGUCGCGAGAUCUACCAAACCUAACCAAACUCCGAAUACCACAGAGUUAGUCCGGCAGACAGACGGCGGGUGCUAAGGUCCGUCGUCAAAAGGGAAACAGCCCUAACCUACAGCUAAGGUCCCCAAAUCGUAUCUAAGUGGGAAAGCAUGUGGGAUUUCCAAAACAACCAGGAGGUUGGCUUAGAAGCAGCCAUCCUUUAAAGAAAGCGUAACAGCUCACUGGUCUAAAUAAGAGAUCCUGCGGCGAAAAUGUAACGGGGCUCAAGAUACGUACCGAAGCUUAGGGUGUGCAUUUAUGCACGCGGUAGCGGAGCGUUCCGUAAGCCUGUGAAGCGGGAGGGUAACCGACCGUGGAGGUAUCGGAAGUGAGAAUGCUGACAUGAGUAGCGAUAAAGAGGGUGAGAUGCCCUCUCGCCGAAAUCCCAAGGGUUCCUGCUUAAAGCUAAUCUGAGCAGGGUGAGCCGGCCCCUAAGACGAGCCCGAAGGGGGUAGUCGAUGGGAACCACGUUAAUAUUCGUGGGCCUGGAGGUGUGUGACGGAUGGCGUAAGUUGUCAGGCCUUAUUGGAUUGGUCUGGCUUCGAAGUUGUCCCAGGAAAUAGCCCCUCCGUAUAGACCGUACCCUAAACCGACACAGGUGGGAUGGUAGAGUAUACCAAGGCGCUUGAGAGAAGUGUACUGAAGGAACUCGGCAAAUUACCUCCGUAACUUCGGGAGAAGGAGGCCCCACAUAUGGGCAACCAUGUGUGGGGGGCACAAGCCAGGGGGUAGCGACUGUUUAGCAAAAACACAGGACUCUGCUAAGUCGGCUUCAAGACGACGUAUAGGGUCUGACGCCUGCCCGGUGCUGGAAGGUUAAGAGGAGGAGUGCAAGCUCUGAAUUGAAGCCCCAGUAAACGGCGGCCGUAACUAUAACGGUCCUAAGGUAGCGAAAUUCCUUGUCGGGUAAGUUCCGACCCGCACGAAAGGCGUAACGAUUUGGGUACUGUCUCGGAGAGAGACUCGGCGAAAUAGACUUGUCUGUGAAGAUGCGGACUACCUGCACCUGGACAGAAAGACCCUAUGAAGCUUUACUGUAACUUGGAAUUGGGUUUGAGCUUUUCUUGCGCAGCAUAGGUGGGAAGCUAAGAAAAUAGGUUUGCGGAUCUAUUUGAGCUAUCAGUGAGAUACCACUCUGGAAAAGCUAGAAUUCUAACCUUGAAAGCCGUUAUCCGGCCAAGGGACAGUUUCAGGUGGGCAGUUUGACUGGGGCGGUCGCCUCCUAAAGAGUAACGGAGGCGCGCGAUGGUGAGCUCAGGACGGUUGGAAACCGUCUGUUAGAGUGCAAUGGCAUAAGCUCGCCUGACUGCGAGACUGACGAGUCGAGCAGAGACGAAAGUCGGUCAUAGUGAUCCGGUGGUCCCUCGUGGAAGGGCCAUCGCUCAACGGAUAAAAGGUACGCCGGGGAUAACAGGCUGAUGAUUCCCAAGAGCUCAUAUCGACGGAAUCGUUUGGCACCUCGAUGUCGGCUCAUCACAUCCUGGGGCUGGAGCAGGUCCCAAGGGUUUGGCUGUUCGCCAAUUAAAGUGGUACGUGAGCUGGGUUCAGAACGUCGCGAGACAGUUUGGUCCCUAUCUGCCGUGGGCGUCGAUAAUUGAGAGGAGUUGACCCUAGUACGAGAGGACCGGGUUGAACAUACCUCUGGUGUACCUGUCAUUGCGCCAGCAGUGCAGCAGGGUAGCUAUGUAUGGACGGGAUAACCGCUGAAAGCAUCUAAGCGGGAAGCCUCCCUCAAGAUAAGUUAUCAUCGAGUCGUGGAAGACCACCACGUUGAUAGGCCGGGUGUGGAAGUGCGGUAACGCAUGGAGCUAACCGGUCCUAAUUACUCUGUUCGCGCUUG
RNAcentral lists this ribosomal RNA (2310 nucleotides) under Palmaria hecatensis. Its description in RNAcentral is "bacterial LSU rRNA". It matches the Rfam family "Bacterial large subunit ribosomal RNA", at positions 490 to 2925 of the family's 2925-position model. Lineage: Eukaryota; Rhodophyta; Florideophyceae; Palmariales; Palmariaceae. The record is from RNAcentral.